Molecule: long non-coding RNA, 2537 nt
Organism: Daucus carota subsp. sativus
Lineage: Eukaryota; Viridiplantae; Streptophyta; Magnoliopsida; Apiales; Apiaceae
Exons: 4
Source: RefSeq, a predicted model, not a curated record
UUAUUACUAAGUAUGCAUCUGUUACGUCUUUCUCUCUCCUCUCCCUCUUCUCUCUCGCCAGCGGCUCUCUCUCGUCUAUUCCUCGAGUGUUAACUCUCUGGAAGCCAUUGCUUUGAUCUCUCCUUGCUCUAAACCACUACGACAUGGCGUCUUUAACUAAUCAAGCUCAUUUAUCCACAAAUCAAGCUCAGAUCUGUGAUAGUGUUGAUUAACCAAUUCAUCAGAAUCAAGACAUUGCCCUUGAUCAUGAUUUGGUAAUUUAAGAAAGUAGGAAGGGCCCGAAAAAGAGGUUAUUUAUUAUACGGGACUGCAAGGAUGAGGAAAUCAAGUUUGAUAGCUUCCAUGGCUGCUUAUCUAAAGUUUGAUAUAUACAACUUGCAGCUAAUGAAUGUGAAGCAUGACACCAGGCUCAGGAAAUUGUUGCUGGGACUGCAAAUCGAUCCAUCCUUCUAAUUGAAGAUAUUGAUUGUAGUGUAGAGUUGCCAGAUAGAAACACUUUGAAUUUCUUUAGAACUCUUUAUUUACUCUAUUCUCUGUAGAGGAUGAUGGGGGCUUUUAAAAAAAAGCAUUUAGUUUGAUAUUAUUAAUUGAGGAGUGACCAAGUGAUUUUAUAUGCACGAUCCCUGUGCUUUGGCACUUGCAUCACUGUUUUACACAUAUAUUUCAAUAUACAUCUCCUUACUGUUUUAUUAAUAUGUGGUGAUUUUUACCAAUCUCACUUCAUAACCUGUAGCCUACUUGUUGUAAUCUGGACUUACCAUUAAUUUUACAUCGGGUGAAUAGAUGUAAAUAGUUCCUUUAAGAGUUAAAGCACUAUUGAGUUUCUAAUAUAGGAACAUGUUAAAUUACUAUUUCAGUUAAUAUGCUAAUUUUGCUAGUAUUGCAGGUUGUGGCAGGAUUCAUGUCCCAGGUCAUGGAUAGAUCAGUGUCAUUUGACCGAUCGCAAAUAAUAUUAACAGCUGGUACUACCUCUGCAAUUGAGAUUCUUAGUUUCUACCUGGCUUACUUGGGAAGUGUUUUUCUAGUUCCCUCACCUUACAACCCAGAGUAAAUUUCGUCAUUGAAACCUUAAAUAUUACUGUUUUUAGUGAUUGUCAAUUGUCAUAUAUAGGAACUAAACAUGAAAGACAUUUACAAACUUGUCGUGGAUGUCAAAUGGCGUACAAGGGUGGAGUGCCAGAUGAAAACAGUAAUAUUUAAGGUUUGCAGUUCACACUAUCAGGACUAUUGAACUUCAUAGAUGGGUUAUAGUCAAGCUGUGGAGACGAGAGGGUCAAAAUUUUUACGACCAACAAAAGGACAAGCUUGAUCCUGCAUUUUUGUGUCCAGGACGCAUGGACAAGCACAUUCAUAUAUCUUAUCUUUCGAUUAAUGGAUUCAAAACAUUAGCUUCUAAUUAUCUGGACAUUGGCGGUACAAAGAGAUAGAAAAUUAGAAGCCUAAUAGCCUAAUAGAAAAUUUGUAGUAUAAUUUUGUCAAGAAUAAAGACAUAUGGCACAAACACAUCGCUCAAGUUUUCAAGUUUAGUGUAUUAGGCACUCUCUUAUGUUUAAAAGUUUCUCUAGUUUAAAUUGUAAUUAGCAAGUACUACAUUAAUCUGCCAAAAGGCCUUAUAUAUAUGUCCUAAUAUCUGCGGCCACUAAAGCACAGUGUAUUGUCAUGCUUGUGUUUCUGUAUACUUGUUUAGGUACUAGUAGACUGAUUUUAGUGUGGGUUUUUAUUAAAAUAUAAAUAUGACAAAUUAGCAUGAUGCUAUUGCAGGGUCCUUUGCAGGUUUAGGGUUUCUAUCUGCGUACUUGGCCGGAAAGAUAAGAGCAUUUGAUCGCAGGGGACAUGUGGCAAAACUUUGUAUUGUCUUUCUUCCUCUCAUUGUUGCUGCCCUUGUUGGUGUAUCUCGAGUGGAUGACUAUUGGCACCAAUGGCAGGAUGUGUUUGCACGGGGUCUCCUGGGGCUCUUCGUGGAAACAAUCUGUCAUCUUCAAUUCUUCCAACCACCAUAUCACACUGAUGGCAGGCCUUUUAGUUCUUUACUUUAUUGUUCUUAAGUUUACAUUCUGGCAAUUGAUUUUCUACAACAUUUUUACCCUUCCCUCUAGGAGAUUUUGAGCAUUUGUUUUGAGAUUUGGAUGAGUCAAGUGUGAUGAUCUUUUGUGUGGCUUGUCAAUACGCUUCUUCUUAAGGUCCUUGCUUCGUCAUUUCAUAUGAGCACAUUUUUUGAUCAAAUUCAGUUUUUUGAUCAGAUUCAGGAUUCUUUGUUUAAUCAGUAUGUGAUUCAGAAGCUGUCAGGGCAGCCAUUGAUUGAGAUCCAACAAGAGAAUAAAGAGGAGAAAGUCAUGGUUGAGGAGUUUUUGAUGGUCUUGUAUUUUGAAUCAUAUCAGCUUGUUUUAAUUUUUAGUUUUUAGUUGUAUCAUUGCUUUGGUUGUAUAGUGGAAUCUUGUUUUGUAAAAAUGCAGUUUGAAAUUAUUCCUUGAAUUUUGGUUCUGUUGUAGAAUCAAGACAUUGAAUUUAUUAAAAUUUUAAUUUUAAUUUUUGCUUAA